CGGAAGGCGGUGGUGGGCCCAUACUCAAAGCUGGGCACUAUCGCCUGCCUGCUGUGUGACCGCAGGGGAGUUGCUCGGCUUCUCUGAGCCCGCAUCCCCUGGUCUCUAAGAAGAGGAAGAACAGGUGGGCACAGUAGUGGUGCAGCGGGCUCCGCCAGUUGUGGCGGCAUGCAUCUCCUAGGGCAGUGCCUGCGGUCAAAUCCUGGCGCCUCUGCCUCUGACCCAGCUCCCUGCUGAUGUGCCUGGGAGAGCAGUGGGAGAUGGACCCUGCACCCGCGUGGGAGACCCGGAUGGAGGCCCUGGCUCUGGCUGCAGGUUGGCCCAGCCCUGGCUAUUGCAGACAUUUGGGGAAUGCAUCAGCGGAUGGAAGGUUCUCUCUCUCUCUCUCUCUCUCUCUCUCCCUCUCUCUCUCUUCUCUCUGCCUUUCAAAAGGUUUUGAGUGUCGAGGCCUGAGACAGCGGCUCAGUCACCUAUUUGGUCCAUCCUCAUGCUCCUGCCCACGACGGCUCUGUGAAGUCACAAAUGCUGUUCACUGUCCAAAGCCACCUGUCCAGCAGCCUCUUCGGAAAGAACCCGAGGAGCCGAUGGCAGGAUGCGCGCUGGUGCCUUCCCAGUUUCCCUUCGGAUGCAUUACAGGGAAGCAACCCAUCCGUACGCCCCCUGCACACAUGCGCCCCAGCGCCAGCUUCUGUGGACAGCUUGCUGUAUGCCAUGGCCGCUCUCUCUCCCCACCCAGUGCAUAUACCCAUGCUGCACAUAUUUGCCAUAUUUGAUUUUUUUUUUUUUUGACAGGCAGAGUUAGACAGUGAGAGAGAGAGACAGAGAGAAAAGUCUUCCUUCCAUUGGUUCACCCCCCAAAUGGCUGCUAUGGCUGGCACUCCGUGCCAAUCCGAAGCCAGGAGCCAGGUGCUUCCUCCUGGUCUCCCAUGGGGUGCAGGGCCCAAGCACUUGGGUCAUCCUCCACUGCCCUCCAGGGCCACAGCAGAGAGCUGGACUGAAAGAGGAGCGACUGGGACAGAAUCUGGUGCCCCAACCGGGACUAGAACCUGGGGUGCCAGCGCUGCAGGCAGAGGAUUAGCCUAGUGAGCCACGGUGCCCGCAUGCCAUAUUUGAUUUCUAAAAAUCAAUAGAAAAUGUAUUGCUUGGGCGAUUGGGAAGAGAAUAAAGAGAUUAAAAAUUAAAUCCCUUUAAAAACA
This 1196-nucleotide long non-coding RNA is filed under the name Oryctolagus cuniculus (rabbit). Its description in RNAcentral is "lncRNA (ENSOCUG00000037505.1)". The record is from RNAcentral. Lineage: Eukaryota; Metazoa; Chordata; Mammalia; Lagomorpha; Leporidae.